RNAcentral lists this ribosomal RNA (494 nucleotides) under uncultured bacterium. Its description in RNAcentral is "partial 16S ribosomal RNA". It matches the Rfam family "Bacterial small subunit ribosomal RNA", at positions 28 to 507 of the family's 1533-position model. The record is from RNAcentral.
GACGAACGCUGGCGGCGUGCUUAACACAUGCAAGUCGAACGGUGAAGCGCCUUCCUUUUUGGUGGGUGUGGAUGAGUGGCGAACGGGUGAGUAACACGUGAGUAACCUGCCCCCUUCUUCUGGAUAACCGCAUGAAAGUGUGGCUAAUACGGGAUAUUCUGGGUCUGUCGCAUGAUGGGUCUGGGAAAGAUAUUGUUUCGGUGGGGGAUGGGCUCGCGGCCUAUCAGCUUGUUGGUGGGGUGAUGGCCUACCAAGGCGGUGACGGGUAGCCGGCCUGAGAGGGUGGACGGUCACACUGGGACUGAGACACGGCCCAGACUCCUACGGGAGGCAGCAGUGGGGAAUAUUGCACAAUGGGCGCAAGCCUGAUGCAGCGACGCCGCGUGAGGGAUGGAGGCCUUCGGGUUGUGAACCUCUUUCGCCAGUGAAGCAGGCCUGCCUCGUUUGUGGGUGGGUUGACGGUGGCUGGAUAAGAAGCGCCGGCUAACUACGUG